Molecule: ribosomal RNA, 377 nt
Filed under: uncultured eukaryote
Lineage: Eukaryota
Description: SSU rRNA
Rfam family: Eukaryotic small subunit ribosomal RNA
Source: RNAcentral
AGCUCCAAUAGCGUAUAUUAAAGUUGUUGCAGUUAAAACGCUCGUAGUCGGAUUUCGGGGCGGGCCGACCGGUCUGCCGAUGGGUAUGCACUGGCCGGCGCGUCCUUCCACCCGGAGACCGCGCCUACUCUUAACUGAGCGGGCGCGGGAGACGGGUCUUUUACUUUGAAAAAAUCAGAGUGUUCCAAGCAGGCAGUCGCUCUUGCAUGGAUUAGCAUGGGAUAAUGAAAUAGGACUCUGGUGCUAUUUUGUUGGUUUCGAACACCGGAGUAAUGAUUAACAGGGACAGUCAGGGGCACUCGUAUUCCGCCGAGAGAGGUGAAAUUCUCAGACCAGCGGAAGACGAACCACUGCGAAAGCAUUUGCCAGGGAUGUUU